RNAcentral lists this ribosomal RNA (804 nucleotides) under uncultured bacterium. Its description in RNAcentral is "bacterial SSU rRNA". It matches the Rfam family "Bacterial small subunit ribosomal RNA", at positions 57 to 825 of the family's 1533-position model. The record is from RNAcentral.
GCAAGUCGAACGAGUUCUCGUUGAUGAUCGGCGCUUGCACCGAGAUUCAACAUCGUUCGAGUGGCGGACGGGUGAGUAACACGUGGGUAACCUGCCCUUAAGUGGGGGAUAACAUUUGGAAACAGAUGCUAAUACCGCAUAGAUCCAAGAACCGCAUGGUUCUUGGCUGAAAGAUGGCGUAAGCUAUCGCUUUUGGAUGGACCCGCGGCGUAUUAGCUAGUUGGUGAGGUAAUGGCUCACCAAGGCGAUGAUACGUAGCCGAACUGAGAGGUUGAUCGGCCACAUUGGGACUGAGACACGGCCCAAACUCCUACGGGAGGCAGCAGUAGGGAAUCUUCCACAAUGGACGCAAGUCUGAUGGAGCAACGCCGCGUGAGUGAAGAAGGCUUUCGGGUCGUAAAACUCUGUUGUUGGAGAAGAAUGGUCGGCAGAGUAACUGUUGUCGGCGUGACGGUAUCCAACCAGAAAGCCACGGCUAACUACGUGCCAGCAGCCGCGGUAAUACGUAGGUGGCAAGCGUUAUCCGGAUUUAUUGGGCGUAAAGCGAGCGCAGGCGGUUUUUUAAGUCUGAUGUGAAAGCCCUCGGCUUAACCGAGGAAGCGCAUCGGAAACUGGGAAACUUGAGUGCAGAAGAGGACAGUGGAACUCCAUGUGUAGCGGUGAAAUGCGUAGAUAUAUGGAAGAACACCAGUGGCGAAGGCGGCUGUCUGGUCUGUAACUGACGCUGAGGCUCGAAAGCAUGGGUAGCGAACAGGAUUAGAUACCCUGGUAGUCCAUGCCGUAAACGAUGAAUGCUAGGUGUUG